RNAcentral lists this ribosomal RNA (302 nucleotides) under uncultured bacterium. Its description in RNAcentral is "bacterial SSU rRNA". It matches the Rfam family "Bacterial small subunit ribosomal RNA", at positions 28 to 332 of the family's 1533-position model. The record is from RNAcentral.
GAUGAACGCUAGCGGCAGGCCUAACACAUGCAAGUCGAGGGGCAGCACGUCUUCGGAUGGUGGCGACCGGCGCACGGGUGCGUAACGCGUAUGCAACCUACCUCUUACAGUGGGAUAGCCCAGAGAAAUUUGGAUUAAUACCGCAUAGUAUACAGAUUCAGCAUUGGGACUGUAUUAAACAUUUAUGGGUAAGAGAUGGGCAUGCGUUCUAUUAGUUAGUUGGAGUGGUAACGGCACCCAGACAGCGAUAGAUAGGAGCCCUCGAGAGGGGAGUCCCCACCACUGGUACUGAGACACGGACC